This 253-nucleotide ribosomal RNA is filed under the name uncultured bacterium. RNAcentral's name for it is "partial 16S ribosomal RNA". It matches the Rfam family "Bacterial small subunit ribosomal RNA", at positions 524 to 776 of the family's 1533-position model. The record is from RNAcentral.
GACAGAGGGUGCAACCGUUGUUCGGAAUUACUGGGCGUAAAGCGCGUGUAGGCUGCUCUGCAAGUCGGAUGUGAAAGCCCUGGGCUCAACCUAGGAAGUGCACUCGAAACUGCAGAGCUGGAGUCCUGGAGAGGAAGGCGGAAUUCUCGGUGUAGAGGUGAAAUUCGUAGAUAUCGAGAGGAACACCGGUGGCGAAGGCGGCCUUCUGGACAGUGACUGACGCUGAGACGCGAAAGCGUGGGGAGCAAACAGG